This 253-nucleotide ribosomal RNA is filed under the name uncultured bacterium. RNAcentral describes it as "partial 16S ribosomal RNA". It matches the Rfam family "Bacterial small subunit ribosomal RNA", at positions 524 to 776 of the family's 1533-position model. The record is from RNAcentral.
UACGAAGGGGGCUAGCGUUGCUCGGAAUCACUGGGCGUAAAGGGUGCGUAGGCGGAUUAGUAAGUCAGUGGUGAAAGCCUGCAGCUCAACUGUAGAACUGCCAUUGAUACUGCUAGUCUUGAAUAUAGUUGAGGUAGGCGGAAUAUGACAUGUAGCGGUGAAAUGCUUAGAUAUGUCAUAGAACACCGAUUGCGAAGGCAGCUUGCUAAACUAUUAUUGACGCUGAGGCACGAAAGCGUGGGUAGCAAACAGG